CCUACGGGUGGCAGCAGUGAGGAAUAUUGGUCAAUGGCCGAGAGGCUGAACCAGCCAAGUCGCGUGAGGGAUGACGGCCCUACGGGUUGUAAACCUCUUUUGUCGGGGAGCAAAGAGAGUCACGUGUGGCUCAUUGAGAGUACCCGAAGAAAAAGCAUCGGCUAACUCCGUGCCAGCAGCCGCGGUAAUACGGAGGAUGCGAGCGUUAUCCGGAUUUAUUGGGUUUAAAGGGUGCGCAGGCGGGCCUUUAAGCCGGCGGUGAAAUCGCGGGGCUCAACCCCGCCGAGCCGUCGGAACUGGGGGCCUUGAGUGCGGCGGAGGCAUGCGGAAUGCGCGGUGUAGCGGUGAAAUGCAUAGAUAUCGCGCAGAACCCCGAUUGCGAAGGCAGCGUGCCGUGCCGCCACUGACGCUGAGGCACGAAAGCGCGGGGAUCGAACAGGAUUAGAUACCCCAGUAGUC
RNAcentral lists this ribosomal RNA (459 nucleotides) under uncultured bacterium. RNAcentral describes it as "partial 16S ribosomal RNA". It matches the Rfam family "Bacterial small subunit ribosomal RNA", at positions 338 to 795 of the family's 1533-position model. The record is from RNAcentral.